CAGUCGCCGCGGUAAUGCGUAGGGUGCGAGCGUUAAUCGGAAUUACUGGGCGUAAAGCGUGCGCAGGCGGUUGUGUAAGACAGGUGUGAAAUCCCCGGGCUUAACCUGGGAACUGCGCUUGUGACUGCACAGCUAGAGUAUGGCAGAGGGGGGUGGAAUUCCACGUGUAGCAGUGAAAUGCGUAGAGAUGUGGAGGAACACCGAUGGCGAAGGCAGCCCCCUGGGCCAAUACUGACGCUCAUGCACGAAAGCGUGGGGAACAAACAGGAUUAGAUACCCCCGUAGUCCCUGUCUCUUAUAC
Molecule: ribosomal RNA, 301 nt
Filed under: uncultured bacterium
Lineage: Bacteria
Description: partial 16S ribosomal RNA
Rfam family: Bacterial small subunit ribosomal RNA
Source: RNAcentral